Molecule: long non-coding RNA, 496 nt
Organism: Salvia miltiorrhiza (redroot sage)
Lineage: Eukaryota; Viridiplantae; Streptophyta; Magnoliopsida; Lamiales; Lamiaceae
Exons: 2
Source: RefSeq, a predicted model, not a curated record
AAUAAUAUCAAAUAUUCCACUUUAUCCCCAUAUCUAGCAAAAUCUGAUACAUUGUUUCUAAAUCUUGCCAAUCUAUCUUACAAGCAACCCCACGCCUAUGCAUAGCCUCUGCCAUUUCCUUUAUCUUAUAAACUAAGAUUUCCAUUCAUCCCUCACAAUUCACUCUCGCAAAGAAGGAUUUCAGAUUCAAGAUUUGAGACUCAGCCAACCUUCACACACUUCAUCCUAUCGACAUUUCUUAAGGUUCGAGUAACCAAGGGCAUUAGAGCAUCAAGCAAAGCAAGCACUGAAUCUCCACUUCGAGGUUGAUCGGUUGAUGUAGACGGGGCUGAGCUGAGGCUAGGUACCACGAUGUCUUUUGCUUCCGCUAAUGACUAGCUUAUCAUCUCGUCUUUUAAAUUUCCUAAACUGAGAAUUUCUAUUAUGUGGUACAAUAUUAUCUCGUUGGGCUUGGACUCUUAACCCAUAUUUCUAUUAAUGAAGCUAUCAUUGAUUA